UGGAGACCUCUUUUUUUUUUCGCGCUGCAGUGCACAACCAUAAGUUCCUAACCUGGAAGAGUGACUCAGAGAUACCAGACGUUCAGGGAACAGCUACCACAAACUCAAGAGAGAAGAAGGUUGCUCCGCUGGAAGCUGCAAAUAAAUUCUGCUGUUCAACAAAAUACCCUAGAGUAGGUUCCUAUUCAUAAAACUACCUAUACCAGAUGGAAAAAAUAGAAACCAAAAAGCACCAACAUAAAGUCAUUACAAGUAAAAUUUCCCCUUCCCCUUAUCUUGCUCUCACUUUGCCUUCCCCACACCUGCUCUCUACUCUGCAAUCACAAAUCAGGGCCUCACGAAUUCAUCAAGGCAUAUCAGGAGUGUAACACAAGGAUGAAGAGAACAUAUAGAGUUAAUUUGUGACUUCACCGCACCUGAAAUGUUAAUUUGUCAGCCCUCACAAUGCAAAAAGUAAAUGCCCCAUAAAGAUAAUAUAUAGAUGGACUAAGAGAUGAAGUGUGGCCAGGAAAACUCAAAUCGAGUUGCAGCUGAUUGAUUCACUGCACCUUCUAAAUUGCACAAUAUGUUUCUGAAGCAGUUGCAUCAGU
RNAcentral lists this long non-coding RNA (590 nucleotides) under Nicotiana tabacum (common tobacco). RNAcentral's name for it is "long non-coding RNA (NTAB_LNC008053)". The record is from RNAcentral. Lineage: Eukaryota; Viridiplantae; Streptophyta; Magnoliopsida; Solanales; Solanaceae.